GUGUCAGCCGCCGCGGUAAUACGAGUGGUGCAAGCAUUAUUCGGAAUCAUUGGGCGUAAAGGGUGCGUAGGUGGCAAACUAAGUCUACUGUUAAAUGUCUCGGCCUAACCGAGAACCUGCAGUGGAUACUGGUAUGCUAGAGGAUGGGAGAGAGAAGUGGAAUUCUCGGAGUAGCGGUAAAAUGCGUAGAUCUCGAGAGGAACACCGAUGGCGAAAGCAGCUUCUUGGCCUGAUCCUGACACUGAUGCACGAAAGCGUGGGGAGCAAACAGGAUUAGAUACCCCCGUAGUCC
This 292-nucleotide ribosomal RNA is filed under the name uncultured bacterium. RNAcentral describes it as "partial 16S ribosomal RNA". It matches the Rfam family "Bacterial small subunit ribosomal RNA", at positions 505 to 796 of the family's 1533-position model. The record is from RNAcentral.